Molecule: ribosomal RNA, 460 nt
Filed under: uncultured bacterium
Lineage: Bacteria
Description: SSU rRNA
Rfam family: Bacterial small subunit ribosomal RNA
Source: RNAcentral
AGAAUCAACGCUGGCGGCGUGCCUAACACAUGCAAGUCGAACGAGAAAGUGGAGCAAUCCAUGAGUAAAGUGGCGACCGGGUGAGUAACACGUGACUAACCUACCUUCGAGUGGGGGAUAACAUCGGGAAACCGAUGCUAAUACCGCAUAACAUCGCAAGAUCAAAGCAGCAAUGCGCUUGAAGAGGGGGUCGCGGCUGAUUAGCUAGUUGGCGGGGUAAUGGCCCACCAAGGCGAAGAUCGGUAUCCGGCCUGAGAGGGCGCACGGACACACUGGAACUGAAACACGGUCCAGACUCCUACGGGAGGCAGCAGUGGGGAAUUUUGCGCAAUGGGGGAAACCCUGACGCAGCAACGCCGCGUGGAGGAUGAAGCCCCUUGGGGCGUAAACUCCUUUCGACCAAGACGAUAAUGACGGUACUGGUGGAAGAAGCACCGGCUAACUCUGUGCCAGCAGCCGC